Alligator mississippiensis (American alligator) is the source of this 3731-nucleotide long non-coding RNA. RefSeq lists it as uncharacterized. The transcript has 3 exons. The record is from RefSeq and is a predicted model, not a curated record. NCBI's taxonomy places the organism in Eukaryota, Metazoa, Chordata, Crocodylia, Alligatoridae.
UUGGGGCCCCUCAGCUUCUCUGCCAUCUGCCCCAAGAUGUGUGUGCAAAAUGCCUUCACAUGCCAUGCUCUGGCACGCUACCCCUGUCUUAGAAGCAUUUUUGUUCUCAGCACUCUGAGACAGGGAAAGAGCUGGCUGAGGAUUGAGCCCAGGAGGGCAGAAGAGUUUAUUUCUCUGUAGGUUUGAUUUGACUUUGGGUAAUCCUGGAAGGGGCGUAAUCUUUGUGUGAUCUUGCCAGAGGAGUGGCUGGCUCUGCACGGCAUUAGCCUUUGAGUAUAGAGUUAAACGCACUAACACAUGACGCCGCAGUGGUAGCCAGCGCCCAGAGGAGGUGAGGUACAGUACAGGCUCAUAAACCUGGCACACUAGAGUCCCUUCAUGUUACAGUAAGGACACUCCCAUAAGUCUAAUUUCAGAUAUAUGGUAUUGGAGACAGAUGGUUAGAAGCUUUCCCAUGCACACUCUUAGGAUCGCUUCUUUUCCUGAUGUAAAAGUAGUUAUUUUUCACAGCACUCUGUUACCCGUUCCACUUUAUUUUUAGAAUCAAGCUCGUGAACACUUCCUCAGCCAUCAAUGGAUAAUUACCACAAAUAUUGGAACAAAGACGCUCGCUGCUCAAACCCUUCCCUUUCCCCCCAACUCUGCAUUCACUUUGUGGAAGACGUGUUGCCCAACAUAAGCAAUCUGUCCUGCAAUCCAUGCCAAGAGUGGGAUUUAUCAUUUCACAGUCACUGGAGGGUGCAUUCAGUCUUGCAGCAGCUGGGGAUGCCCCAUUUAGAAGAUGUCUGGAUGAUUUUAAGCAUAUUUCCUAAGACUAAGAAGCAGCCUGGAUUAGGAGUAAGCCUCCCUGAAGCCAGGCUGCAUAGUCACUUGCAGGAAUGGAGCCUCAGUGUGUAACAUCUGUUGAAGGCUAAUUACCAAGAAAGGCCAAUGUUAUUUGCUUAGCUGUUGAGUAAAUAUUAUUUUAAUGAUUAUGAAGGAACCUAGGACUAUUUUUUUGAAGGGAAGGAUGUUACAAAUACUCCUACCCCCCAAAUAGAAAAUCUGUCCUUUGGCCAAAUCCCACAGUCCUUUGCUGGGCCGGUAAAGGCCGAUCCCAGGAGAUGGGUGAAUUUGUUCUUGACAUGGCAUUGGUCUUUUUGGGGUACCCUUGGAUCAGGAUACAACUGCAAACAUUGAGACUCAGAAUAAACAUGUGACUUUGGACCACAGGAAGCAGGGCGCUUUCUGUUAUUUCAGCAGAAGCUAGUAGCAUUGUCAAGUGUCUACCCCAAAACGCACUCACACUUGAAUUUUCAAAAGAUAGGGGUUUAAAUGCCAGUUAGCAAUCAGUCCACUGCAUUUCAUUAAUACCUCUGCUUUGCUUUUUCCAGUACGCAAAAUUACUCCAGUAUUGCCUACACUAGGGGUGUCUAGCCUGUGGCAAACAUGCAACACGUGACAUGGGCUGCCUCUGUAUGUGGCACAUGGCAGGUCAAAGAGAGGACAAGGCUCAGAGCAGCAGAUCAGGCAGGGGAAAGGGAUUGGAGUUGCACUGGGGGAGGCUACUGGACUAAUUAGUGGCUCUUAACUAAAAAGGUUGGUCCCUGCUGCCCUACGCUUGCUUAGCAGGGGAGAUGGCUGGGGAGUACUGGGAUAUCAUCGCCUGCUGGCAGUGACUGAUGUAAAGACUUCAGUGGCAACUCAUGGCCUUCAGCUCUGCUGGUUUCUGCCUCACUAGCUGAGCCCCCCCUUGUCUUCUAGUGGCCUAAAACUUUGCAGAGCCCUUGGUCUGUGUGCAAAGGAUAAAGCCAUUCAGAACCACCCAGGUCCCUCUGUGCAACGCUGCCGUCUGAUCACAAAAUAUACAACUCUGAAGCAGAGAGAAAGGGAGAGUGCUAUUAAUACCUUAACUGUCUUGGGUGAUCAGCAGUAUAAACACGUGGUUAUAUAAUAGCAGGAGUUUCAUUGUUUUCUCUCCUCUCUGUCCUAGAGAUAAUGUUUUCAAUAACUUUAUUUUCCCCAGACGCUGCAUGUCUCCAAAGGAAACGCAGAAGAUAGAUGCUGACCUUCUCCUUUCCGUCUAUCCUCAGGAGAUCAGUAACUCCUUUCCUCAUCAGCUAGAAUGACAUGCUGCUGAUUGUCAUCUUCCCUGUGAAUUUGCAAUGGCAUCUCACUAGGAAUAGCUAAUAAGAUUUCAGUUGUACUUAAGUUACUGUCAUUAGCAAAGCCCAAUGUCCUUUUCCACGCACAGUAUCAGCUAUAACUUGUGAGCUAACUCUGUAUGAGAUUCAACAUAGUCAUGCUCCUGAUUCCAUGAAACCUGUAAAAUAUGCAAUGAAGAGUAUUAUGCAUAGUAGCUCCUGUAAGUCUAUAAUGUUUUACUGCCACAUCCACUUUGUCUAUAAAGUAUCCUUUUGUCCUUUCAAAUAGACUGAUAGCUGGCAAGAAACAGGACUAAGAAUAGUUGUGAAGGACUAAAGUGCACGGCUCUUCUCUGCGACAUGACUGUACAAAUGGCUUGAUGACAUUACGGGAUUGCCUGUGUCUCAGUAUUUCCAUGUCAAAGGCAAGCUUUUUUCCCUCCUCCCUGCCAGCUGUGAAAGCUCAACCUUUGUCCUCAGACUCAGUCUGAAUCCUUUCCUUCCCACUGCAGAUAAAAGCCAGGUUGCGAUGCCUAUGUAUCAUUCCUGUCCGUCAUCAUACAGCAAUCUUCACAGCUCAUCCUCAGUUGGGGGCACAAUAGCGUCUCAAGAUCUCUGUUGUGAUAAGGACCUCUUCACGCUAGGCUCUGUGAAGACACACACGAGUCGAUCCUUGGAGCAGAGCGACUGCCUUGGGAGCCAAGCAUUGCCACGUUGGCUGAGAUUUCUGCAUGUCCUUCUGGCCACACGGCUGGCAUGCACAGCGUCACCGGAACAAGUGGGACUAUGAAAAUGCCCUGCCUUUUCCUCUAGACCAAUACGGCUACAGCCUGGAUACUUGACUCCACCCUGAUUUCUCCUCUGUUUAUAAACUGGUCUAAAAUUGAGCACUGUCUGGCAGAGAAAUGCCAGCAUUUUGAGAUCUUCUCUCUUGCAUUUCUGUUGUGGUUUUUAUAGGUUGUACUGACUUUCUCAAAAGACAGCGGCUUUAUGGAAAAAAUCAAGGUUGCUGCCUUCCUGAGGGAAUUAAAACGUUGUUCACUGGAAAGAAUGACAGAAGCAAACAGUUUUGUGAGUUCUUUAUUAGAGGUUUUUUUAUGCUUACAUUUAGCAUCUCAUCAUGAAAUCAUUAGGGGGAAAAAAGGUUUUAGCACAACCGUUAAACUAAUAACUUUGUAUUAUAUAUUCAUGCAAAUCAGUUCACACAGUUAAGUGCUUUUUAGCAUCCUCUCCUUUCCUCAUCCUUUCAGUCCUGCCAGACUGUUUAGGUUGCAUCUGUUGCACAAAUAGGUUGCAUCGGCUUCCUAGCAGCUAAUGCAGUAUUUUGCCACAAACUAGCCAUGUCUACACAAGACACCGACUGCACAAUAGUCCAUAACACCGUGUGGCAGGAAGCACAAGGCGACGCUACUGUGCAGUAGUCAUGAGUUACUGUACAGCCAGCGUCAUGAAAAAGCUGUUCCUCAGCAAGACUGCAGUAACAGAGUACUUAUAAAUAAGUACUAAAUGACUGCAUAGUAAUGACUGCGCAGUCAGCAUCUCAUGUAGACGUGACCACUGAAAAGCUUAAUGCAAAAAGUGAACAAAGGCAAUACAAUUCAGCGCUCA